CUUCACCGACCCCAACCACAACGGAUCCCCACCCCCACGACCCCGCCCAUACGUCGCCAACAACGCCUGCGCCUC
This is a non-coding RNA of Streptomyces sp. CB01580, 75 nucleotides long. It matches the Rfam family "ASpks TB sRNA". The record is from Rfam. Lineage: Bacteria; Bacillati; Actinomycetota; Actinomycetes; Kitasatosporales; Streptomycetaceae.